CGGAGCUUGGAACACAGGUGCUGCAUGGCUGUCGUCAGCUCGUGUCGUGAGAUGUUGGGUUAAGUCCCGCAACGAGCGCAACCCUCGUCCUUAGUUGCCAUCAUUAAGUUGGGCACUCUAAGGAGACUGCCGGUGAUAAGCCGCGAGGAAGGUGGGGAUGACGUCAAGUCCUCAUGGCCCUUACGGGCUGGGCUACACACGUGCUACAAUGGCGGUGACAAUGGGCAGCGAACCAGCAAGGGGGAGCUAAUCUCAAAAAGCCGUCUCAGUUCGGAUUGCACUCUGCAACUCGAGUGCAUGAAGUUGGAAUCGCUAGUAAUCGUGGAUCAGCAUGCCACGGUGAAUACGUUCCCGGGCCUUGUACACACCGCCCGUCACACCAUGGGAGUUGGUUUUACCUUAAGACGGUGCGCUAACCGCAAGGGAGCAGCCGGCCACGGUAAGGUCAGCGACUGGGGUGAAGUCGUAACAAGGUAGCCGUAGGGGAACCUGCGGCUGGAUCACCUCCUUU
Molecule: ribosomal RNA, 511 nt
Filed under: uncultured Methylobacteriaceae bacterium
Lineage: Bacteria; Pseudomonadati; Pseudomonadota; Alphaproteobacteria; Hyphomicrobiales; Methylobacteriaceae
Description: bacterial SSU rRNA
Rfam family: Bacterial small subunit ribosomal RNA
Source: RNAcentral